Molecule: transfer RNA, 87 nt
Filed under: Paludibacter sp.
Lineage: Bacteria; Pseudomonadati; Bacteroidota; Bacteroidia; Bacteroidales; Paludibacteraceae
Description: tRNA-Ser
Rfam family: tRNA
About the family: Transfer RNA (tRNA) molecules are approximately 80 nucleotides in length. Their secondary structure includes four short double-helical elements and three loops (D, anti-codon, and T loops).
Source: RNAcentral
GGAAAGUUGCCAGAGAGGUCGAUCGGGUCGGUCUCGAAAACCGAUGUACUCGCAAGGGUACCCAGGGUUCGAAUCCCUGACUUUCCG